CCCUUAGAUGUUCUGGGCCGCACGCGCGCUACACUGAUGCAUUCAACGAGUCUAAAACCUGCUCUGAUAGGGGUGGGUAAUCUUUUGAAUGUGCAUCGUGAUUGGGAUAGAUGAUUGCAAUUUUUCAUCUUCAACGAGGAAUGCCUAGUAAACGCAAGUCAUCAGCUUGCAUUGAUUACGUCCCUGCCCUUUGUACACACCGCCCGUCGCUCCUACCGAUUGAAUGAUACGAUGAAUAUCAUGGAUUGAGGAUGCAAGUAGGUUCGCCUAUCUUCAUCUUCGAGAAGUGAAGUAAAUCUUAUCAUUUAGAGGAAGGAGAAGUCGUAACA
RNAcentral lists this ribosomal RNA (329 nucleotides) under uncultured eukaryote. RNAcentral's name for it is "partial 18S ribosomal RNA". It matches the Rfam family "Eukaryotic small subunit ribosomal RNA", at positions 1470 to 1796 of the family's 1831-position model. The record is from RNAcentral.